RNAcentral lists this microRNA (23 nucleotides) under Bombyx mori (domestic silkworm). RNAcentral describes it as "bmo-miR-2855". The record is from miRBase by way of RNAcentral. Lineage: Eukaryota; Metazoa; Arthropoda; Insecta; Lepidoptera; Bombycidae.
CGGGUAACUUUGCAUCGCUGGCA